GUUCAGUUCAUUAAAAAUUGAAAAAGAAGAUCUAAAAUACAUGCUAAAAUUUAAAAUACAUAAAUAAUGUAUCAUGAGGUAGAAUUACAUAAGAAACUUCUUUUGGACUGCAUUUCUAUAUAUAGUUGGAUAAAUAUUAAUUGCAAAAUACCUCUUCAUUAUCAUCCAAUGAUAAAUUAUCCAUUUGCACUUUUGGAUAUUCUAAGAUUAAAAAAAUACGCAAGCAUGUAACUCAGCAUACAAAUAUACUAUUUAUAAAAUUUGAAAAUUGUGACAAUAAAAUGUCAUGCAUCAUUUAAAGAUGUAGUUUUUUUUCAAGUAUCAAAUUCAAACAUAUAUAUAUAUAUAUAUAUAUAUACAAUUUUCUACUUCUGUAUUUGGUACAACUAUAAAAAUUUACAAAAAUUAAAUUCACAUUUAAUUAUAAACGUAAUCAAACAUCACAUUUAUAAUAAUAUUUUUUUUUUCAAAAAUUAUGUUACUGAAUUAUGUUCACUGUAAAUACAAUGCUAUCUAGUUGAAUUAAAUUAAUUUGUAUGUUAAUUUUUAUUAAGCAUUUGUUGUUUUUCAAAGACUAAAACAAAUUAAUUUUAGAAUAACAAAA
This 604-nucleotide long non-coding RNA is filed under the name Physcomitrium patens. RNAcentral's name for it is "long non-coding RNA (PPAT_LNC014426)". The record is from RNAcentral. Lineage: Eukaryota; Viridiplantae; Streptophyta; Bryopsida; Funariales; Funariaceae.